This is a non-coding RNA of Arachis ipaensis, 3141 nucleotides long. The record is from RefSeq and is a predicted model, not a curated record. Lineage: Eukaryota; Viridiplantae; Streptophyta; Magnoliopsida; Fabales; Fabaceae.
GUAUUUUCCCAGGAAUUUUGGUCUAAAUGAUUUUGUGGAUUUUCAGUGUUUAAGAUUUGUGUACUGAAACUAAAUAUGAUUGUUUUAAUAGGAAACAGUGUUGCAAAAAGGAACCUGGAUUCUUUCAGGGAGGUCCCUACCUUGAGUUAUGUGGGGCUGGGUCCUCACUUCAAUGCCAAUUCCAGAUAUUUUGACAAGGUAGCAGCUUCCAAGAGAAAAUGGGUAAGUCACUGCGCUAGAUGACUAAAAACUGUAUGAUUCUUGCCUCUUAUUCUAGGUGUUUGAUGCCUUUGAACGAAUAAAAAAACAAAGCAUAAGAGUGUCGCUUAGACACAAUAUGAUGACAGCUUCCAAAGAACUGAUAAAACAAAUAAAAAACAUCCAGUUUUCUAAGAGAGAAACCAUCUGUUUGUGUAUUGAAAAGAACAUCCACUGACUAGGUAAAAAAAAAACAUCGACUACACUCCUAAAAAAACACAACAACCAAAUCAAACCGGCAGAAUUACCAACAGUGAAUAAAUAGGCAAUAUGCAACCAAUAGACAGGAGUUAAGUUAACGAUAACGGACCUAUUAGCCAUCUGUUCUGACAUAGGUCGAAUUCUUUGAUGAAUCCACCCCAAUCAACUUCAGAAGAGUCAGCAGAAGGAGAAUUCCACACAAUGUUAUUCAUCUUAACAUUCAAUUCUCCGUACCUAGCGUAACCUCCAAGCUUGAAUUGUGACUUCUUCAGUAUGUGCCAGAUGCACCAUCGGUGGAAAGUAUCUGGUAGGACCUUCCUAAUAGCACCGGCCAUGGCCUUGCACUGGUCAGUGAUGAUCCCCCUUGGCGCAGUCCCGACGCAUCUCACCCAUUUCAUGAACACCCACUCAAAACUAGGGAUCUCCUUGCUCCCAAGUAAAGCACAACCAAGAAGAGUAUAUUUCGCAUGGUGGUUUACACCGACAAAGGAUGUAAACGGUAGACCAUGCCUGCAAAAAUACCAAAAACAAAUGACAGACCCAAAAACAAAUUAAAAAAAUAACUGCUUUUCUGAUUGACCCAUAAGUAUACAGACCUGUUUCUUCUGUAAGUGGUGUCAAACGACCCACAUCUCCAUAAUAUUCAUACGAAACCCUACACCUUGCAUCUACCAAGAGUGCGUACCUGAAAUUAUUAGCAUCGUCAACAUCUAUGGCAUAAAAGAAGUUGGGAUUGAUCUCUUUCAUUCGAACGAAAUAAUUCAUCAUCUCCUUAAAGUCUGCAUUGUCAUCAGCACAUUGGAGAUUGCUUGUGAUGUAAUUUCUGACAUCCUUUUCGGAAAAACCCAAGUUUGAAGACCCACCAACCUCGUUUGCCAAUGCUAGAUACGUUGUUGGGUCUUAUGCCAGCCUUGUCGUUAUCUGUAAUGACGCACUUAGCAUGCAUCGUCAACUACUCAUGAUAGUAGACCGCUUUCUUAGCCGAACAAGGGUGAGAAUGCCUCAAUUCUAAUCUAGACACAAUCCAACUUUCCUUCUCCCUAUCCAUCAUGACAUAUAUCCUUGCUCUGCAUCUCAUGGUUGUAAUUCUGUUUGCCCGAGUUGCUGCCUUCAAUCGAGACUCCCGAUAACCUUCUCGCGUGCAGUGAAUAGAUUGAUUAAUGGGUAUCUUUGAUUCCUUCCGCGUCUUGUUAAAAUUCGUGUUCCUGACUUUAGUUACGAACCCAACUUUCUUUGCAUAAUUUGCAUAAAAUUUAUGUGCCAGAGACAACGAAUCAAAACACAUUUCUAUGACUGAAAUUUCCUCUUCACUAUUCCCGCUCUGAUCCGGCAACUGUAAUAUCAAUUCACAAAACCAAAUACCAAUUAAAAGUAUCAUUAACGCACUAACUAUAACGUGGUAACCAAGGUAGUUAAAAUCGCGUUUCAACACGUGAAAACGCACGAUUUCACGUUUUUGAAUCUUCUCUCCAUGUCGAUUUUGCUUCUCGUCCAGAACUCACCUGUAUCUUGUGGAAUCGCCGUGCAAAAGCGCAGAGCCGCCAAAAUCGCCGAUUUUGCCGCGAUGUUGCGUUCAAGAUGGAGGAAGCUCUUUUCUUGGCCCUGAUUGCAGCCCAAUCCAACCCAAUAGCCUAAUUUGAAUAGAAGACUAUGGAAGAUGGGGAGCCCUAGCAGACUAGCAUUUGAAUUUUCCGUGACCAAAAUUCCCAAUUUGGAGUGUCACCGACUUGCCAUAAGGUUUGCUACCGUUGUUGUCGAAUCAGACUGGUGGUGGCUAGGCUGUGUGAGCGUCACUUUGCGAUUGUGAUUUACGAGAUUCUCUGGCUCUGCCUCUUUGUCUCUGGUUCUCUGGCCCUACCUCUCUAGCUCUGGAAUUUGGAUUGUUGCUCCUCUUCUCCUCUCCUUCACUGGUAGUUCAGGUAAGUUAAAAGCUCUUUUUUAAUUUUUAUCAUCUUCAAUGCUCAAUCUGUUGUUGUGCUUGUUUAUUAUUGAUUAUGUUGCAGGUUGAAUUGAUAUUACCUUUGUUGGCUUAUCAAUUAUAUUGCAGAUUGAUUAUAUUGUUCAAUCUGGAAUAUGGUUUUAUGUGAAUUAUAGUAGGUUUUCAAAUUGAGGUUAACUUAUGUGUUCAUGUUUAUUGCAAGCAUGUAUUUCAUAUCAGUAUGCUGUAUGUAUAUGAUAUAGCUUUUGUAUUGUUUAUUGAUUUUUCUUCUUUGAGAUAUGCAAUUUUAAUGAUUUAGUAAUCUAAAGAUAUUAUUAUUGUAUGCUGUUUUUGCUUUAUCUAUUAAAUAAUCUUUGAAUUUCUUUUUGUUUAGUUGGUUUAUUUUAGAUAUGGAACAUGAAACUUCUAUUGUGAAAGUUGAGGCUCAUUUUUCCUUAAUAUGCCUAUGUUAUGUUUUAGUUAAGGAUAGUUCAAUCAUCUUUAUUUUGCAUUAAAGAAUGAAGUCCAAUUUAGUAUUUUUUUUUUGUUAAAGGUGCAAUUCCAUUAAGAAAAAUUCUGCUGUUAGGAUAGAGUUUUCUAUCAAGUAUCAACACAUAAAAGACAUGAGGUGUGAAAUGUAAAGGAUACUAUGUGAAUUAAAAAGAAAUAGUAUAACCUGUAAACUAAAAGAGAAGCAAUUUUGCCCAGAUAGAGGUUCAGAAUUCAUAUUGAUUGUGUUUUAUUGAAAGAAAAAUAAAAAACAA